Molecule: long non-coding RNA, 814 nt
Filed under: Elaeis guineensis (African oil palm)
Lineage: Eukaryota; Viridiplantae; Streptophyta; Magnoliopsida; Arecales; Arecaceae
Description: long non-coding RNA (EGUI_LNC034133)
Source: RNAcentral
UUGGCAUAGAAAGAAAGAAAAUUUUGUGUGACAAAAAUUAUAAAAGGGAUUUUCUUUUGGCGUGAAAAAUAGAACGCAUGUGUUUUGUGCGCUACCAACCUUUCGCCCCUUUCUUCCUCCACGCCAUCUCAUCAUUGUUUUCUCCUUUCCACACCCCUAUUCUAUAUCAGAUAAAGAUCUGAGAGAGGCCUUAGAGACAAAGAAAGAAAAUCAAGAAAAAUUUUUUUAAUUUUUUGAUGGUUAGGAUCAAUCCCUAGGAUCCUAUAUAGGGCUGCUUUAAGUAAUAUAAGGAAAAAGAUCCUGAUCCAAAUCGAAGAACGAAGCCUGCAAGGGGACUAACACCCCAAAGAUUUUAGAAUUUUGAUCGAAACAUCUUCAUGUGGAUACUAGUAGAGAUCCGAUGCUUGCGCGGCUUCAGCAGCAACCUCAGAUAUCCGCAGGAUCCGAUCCGAGAAAGGAGGGAAAAACGAUCAGGUAUAAUUUUUUUUUUCUGUUUUGAUUUCAGAUCUGAUUUAUUAAUUUAUUUAUGCAUGUUAGAUGAUCCUAGAGUUCAUUAAGAUUGAGAAUCUGCAUAUUUAGAUCAGAUUAAAAAUUUUAAAAUCUUCUUUCAUUAUGGUUACUGUAACCGUAUCGAUCUACACAUGCGAAUCAGUCUGUUUUCUAAUAGUGAUAUUAGAGCCAUAUCAUUCUAGCAUGUUUUAAAUAAAUUUUAUAUCUGAAAUAGUAUUCAUAUAAUUUGAUUUAUAGUUAAUAUAUCUGAUAUGUAAAAAAAUAUCUGAUCUGAAUUUAAUAGAUUACAUAUUAGAUAUAUUAG